AAACGACUCUCGGCAACGGAUAUCUCGGCUCACGCAUCGAUGAAGAACGUAGCAAAAUGCGAUACUUGGUGUGAAUUGCAGAAUCCCGUGAACCAUCGAGUUUUUGAACGCAAGUUGCGCCCGAAGCCGUUUGGUCGAGGGCACGUCUGCCUGGGCGUCACGCAU
Molecule: ribosomal RNA, 165 nt
Filed under: Gymnanthemum coloratum
Lineage: Eukaryota; Viridiplantae; Streptophyta; Magnoliopsida; Asterales; Asteraceae
Description: 5.8S ribosomal RNA
Rfam family: 5.8S ribosomal RNA
About the family: 5.8S ribosomal RNA (5.8S rRNA) is a component of the large subunit of the eukaryotic ribosome. It is transcribed by RNA polymerase I as part of the 45S precursor that also contains 18S and 28S rRNA.
Source: RNAcentral